This 305-nucleotide ribosomal RNA is filed under the name uncultured bacterium. RNAcentral describes it as "bacterial SSU rRNA". It matches the Rfam family "Bacterial small subunit ribosomal RNA", at positions 334 to 637 of the family's 1533-position model. The record is from RNAcentral.
UUUUCCUACGGGAGGCAGCAGUGAGGAAUAUUGGUCAAUGGCCGGAAGGCUGAACCAGCCAAGCCGCGUGAAGGACGAAGGUGCCAAGCAUUGUAAACUUCUUUUGUCAAGGGACAAAAUCAGGCUCGAGAGCCUGACCGAGGGUACUUGAAGAAAAAGCAUCGGCUAACUCCGUGCCAGCAGCCGCGGUAAUACGGAGGAUGCGAGCGUUAUCCGGAUUUAUUGGGUUUAAAGGGUGCGCAGGCGGUCUGUUAAGUCAGCGGUCAAAGCCCGGGGCUCAACCCCGGCCCACCGUUGAAACUGGC